GACGAACGCUGGCGGCGUGCUUAACACAUGCAAGUCGAACGGUAAGGCCCUUCGGGGUACACGAGUGGCGAACGGGUGAGUAACACGUGGGUGAUCUGCCCUGCACUUCGGGAUAAGCCUGGGAAACUGGGUCUAAUACCGGAUAGGACCACUGCCUGCAUGGGUGGUGGUGGAAAGCUUUUGCGGUGGGGGAGGGGCCCGCGGCCUAUCAGCUGGUUGGUGGGGUGAUGGCCUACCAAGGCGACGACGGGUAGCCGGCCUGAGAGGGUGACCGGCCACACUGGGACUGAGAUACGGCCCAGACUCCUACGGGAGGCAGCAGUGGGGAAUAUUGCACAAUGGGCGCAAGCCUGAUGCAGCGACGCCGCGUGAGGGAUGACGGCCUUCGGGUUGUAAACCUCUUUCAGCACCGACGAAGUGCAAGUGACGGUAGGUGCAGAAGAAGGACCGGCCAACUACGUGCCAGCCGCCGCAGUAA
Molecule: ribosomal RNA, 478 nt
Filed under: uncultured bacterium
Lineage: Bacteria
Description: partial 16S ribosomal RNA
Rfam family: Bacterial small subunit ribosomal RNA
Source: RNAcentral